UGGGAUAACUUCGGGAAACCGGAGCUAAUACCGGAUAAUAUAUUGAACCGCAUGGUUCAAUAGUGAAAGACGGUUUUGCUGUCACUUAUAGAUGGAUCCGCGCCGCAUUAGCUAGUUGGUAGGGUAACGGCUUACCAAGGCGACGAUGCGUAGCCGACCUGAGAGGGUGAUCGGCCACACUGGAACUGAGACACGGUCCAGACUCCUACGGGAGGCAGCAGUAGGGA
Molecule: ribosomal RNA, 227 nt
Filed under: Staphylococcus epidermidis
Lineage: Bacteria; Bacillati; Bacillota; Bacilli; Caryophanales; Staphylococcaceae
Description: partial 16S ribosomal RNA
Rfam family: Bacterial small subunit ribosomal RNA
Source: RNAcentral